Dipodomys ordii (Ord's kangaroo rat) is the source of this 129-nucleotide small nucleolar RNA. Lineage: Eukaryota; Metazoa; Chordata; Mammalia; Rodentia; Heteromyidae. The record is from Ensembl.
GGCCUCAGGUUGCUUACCCCAGGCUGUCCUUACACUGACUGUAUAGAAAGAGGAAGCAGAGUAAACCUACCCCAUGUACACCUCAGCCCAGGCCUGUGCCUAGUCUGUAUUGUGAACGGGGAGACAAGG